This 253-nucleotide unclassified non-coding RNA is filed under the name uncultured Chitinophagales bacterium. RNAcentral's name for it is "contains 16S-23S intergenic spacer region". It matches the Rfam family "Bacterial small subunit ribosomal RNA", at positions 524 to 776 of the family's 1533-position model. Lineage: Bacteria; Pseudomonadati; Bacteroidota; Chitinophagia; Chitinophagales. The record is from RNAcentral.
UACGGAGGGUCCAAGCGUUAUCCGGAUUCACUGGGUUUAAAGGGUGCGUAGGCGGCUCAGUAAGUCAGUGGUGAAAGCCUACAGCUUAACUGUAGAAUUGCCAUUGAAACUGCUAAGCUUGAGUUUAGUCGAGGUAGGCGGAAUGUAGCAUGUAGCGGUGAAAUGCUUAGAUAUGCUACAGAACACCAAUUGCGAAGGCAGCUUACUAGACUGACACUGACGCUGAGGCACGAAAGCGUGGGGAACGAACAGG